GACACAGAGAGAGAGAGAGAGGGAGAGACACAGACAGACAGACACACACACAGAGAGAGAUAGAGAGAGAGAGAGAGAGAGAGAGCGAGAGGGAGAGAGGGGCAUUGUGGUUGAAUACAGACAGAAAGGCUUUCAUCAACUCAGUCGUUCAGAAAGUUCUCUGUAUCGCGGUCCGCUUUACCGCCAUCAAACGCAAACACACGCGUUCACUGGAAUAUUAAAACUGGACAAGUUGUCAAGGACUCACAGCCACUGCAGAGUUAAGUGAACUCUAUAGCAACGAUGAAGAUGCUUCCCUAAAAUAUUUCACUCCACACUUCACCAAUUGUUAACAUCAGCCAAGUCAGCGGUUUAUUUGGCCAUCCGUGGGAAUAUAAACCGACGUUGCCUCCAGCCAUGUUGUGUAUUUCAGACAUGCUAACAGCAUAUCCUACAAGUACAGAAGACCGUGAGUGCCGAUGUAGAGUCAUUUGUAUGCAGCAUUAACUUGCAUGAGUGCUUUUUGCUAGUCUUAAUGGUGUCGGUCUGAGUGGUAUUAAUCUCUUGUGUUGUGUUAGCCAGUCUUAAUGGUGUGAGCCUGUCUGAAACCGCCAAAUAGGGAGAUGUGUCUGCCUGCCUCAGUGAGCUAUAGUGAGCUUGUGUUAAUGGUCUGCUGAGUUCAGUCAUAAAAUAUUUCUGGUAAAUCUUUAGUGACCUUAUGACAUUUACUGUAAUGGACGUGCUACUUACUUCACGCAAUACUUGCUUCCUGUUUAUUGCCUAAUUGCUUAAUUUGGAUUUUAAACUUACUGAAUGCUUCAAAACUACUUCAAAACUUUGAUAAUAUGUAUUCUGGCCAGUGAGAGGAAAAGAAACCGAGUACGAGGGGGAGAGUGAAUUUCAGGAUGAUGGCCCAUUCCAUCAAGAUGAUUCAUCAUGCAGGGCGCCUCUAGGGUUACGUUGCUUUACUUUUUGAAAAUACAAACACACGCGCAGUCUGUUCCUGAAAUAAUGUUUUUAUGUUAUAAGCUUACAUAAGGCUAGCCUGAUUUAUGCUUACUUUAUGUUAAAAAACGAACUUGAAUGAAUUUUAGUGAGCUGCUGUAAUGUACUUCCUGGCUGCAUCACUCUAUAGCUAAUGUAUAAGAUUAAAUCUCAGGGAAGUAUAUAAUUUAUGCAUAUUCCUGCCCAGUGUCUUGGCUCAGUAUCUUCUUUUCAUUCCAAGCAAAGAGAGAACUUGAUUUUGCAAUUUGAUUCUGCAUUUCUAUGCUCUUCUCAUCCUAAACAUAGUCUCAGCCACAGACGGCACACCCACGGACCGCCCACAGUCCACUCACUGACCGUCUGCAUAUUGGACACAAAACUGGAAUGUACUUUGACAAUCUGGCAAGCUGCUAUCUGAUUGGCUGGCUUUGUGCAGCUCAGGGCACACAGGUUUCUUUUACUCAGUCCACUGCAAGCACAGUCAUGUUUACAUCCGAUUCAGCAAGCGCUUUAUUAUAUUUAUACAAUGCAGAUUGUGUCAAAGCAGCUUCAGAGUAAUAAACAGGAAAAAAACAAUCUGUAUGUUGCAAAGUUCACCAAACAACUCGAAGUUCAGCUGUAAAACAGCUCUACAGAAUACCAGGGUCAUUUUAGUAGCAUUGAAAUACUAUUGUAGUUUUUAUUAAUAUUUUGAAUUAGUUAAAAAAAAUUUAUAUAUAUUUUUUGGUUUUCACUUUAAUUUUAAAGUAUUAGUAAAUUAGUUUUUUUUAAUAUUGUUUUCAUUCAUUUUUAUGUCAGUUUUAGUUAUUUUAGUACAUCAAGAUAAACAAAAUGAUUUUUUUUUUGUAUUUUAUUUUAUUUCAGUUAAACUUUAUUUUAUUUUAAGUAACAAAAUUGUUUUAUGGUUUUUCAGUUCAAUAACAGUGUCAGUGUUGCAAAAUUAAUCAAUUACGCUAUAAGCAUAUUCAAUUCAGCUAUAAGAAGCUCUGUAGAAGACAAUAGUGUCAUUAUUCAGCUCAGUUCAGUUCAAUGUUGAUUUAGUUCACUCACUGGAUUUGCCAAAGUUAUCAAAUCUUCAGUAUUAAUAUUAUUUUUAAAUUUUAAUAAAACUAAAAUAGUUCAUUAAAUUUAAACAGUUAAUUAAAAUUAUUCUAUUUUAGUUCUAUUUUAAUAUUCAAAAUACAAAUAAAACACUAAAAACUAAAAUUAAUUUUAAAUGCUACAAGUUAAUGCAUGUACAUUUUUAAAUAUAAUAUUUUUAUUUUUUUAUAUUACUAUUUUAUAAUGUACAGCAUGAAACAAUGAUAUUCAUUUUGAGAUUUGCUACAUUUGUGUUAUUAAAUUAUUAGUGCUAUUAAAGAUUUACUGUAAGUGAGCAUUAAAUGAUGGCAAUGUUAAAUUAAAUGCAAAAAUAGAGGAAAUUAACAUGAUCAUGAAUUUACACACACACACACACACACGUACUUGAAUUUGUGGUUUACGGGGACUCUCCAUAGGCGUAAUGGUUUUUAUGCUGUAAAAACCGUAUUUUCUGCAUGUCCUGAUAUUGCCAAGUGCGAAGUGUUCCUGGGUCAACAUCUUUGUUGACCCUGGAACAACAUUGUGAUUAACCAAUCAGAUUUCAAGAACCAGUUUAUAAUUUUUGUGAAGUUUAGGAUUAUAAUCAGUGUUUGGUGCUUGUACAUCAGUGUAAUUCAUCUAUCAGUUCCUCUGAUUUUAGGGAUUACUCAUAGAUAAGGUUAAGUUUAGGUGUAGGAAUAUGGUUAAGAUUAUAUUUUUGGAUUAAAAUGUUGUUCCAGGGUCAACAAAAUAUGUUGACCCAGGAACACGUCGCACUUGGCAAUAUCAGGACGUGCGUAUUUUCUAUUGCCCAACACCUAAACCUACCACUUACAGGAAACUACUGGCAAUUUUUGAAUUUCAUAAAACCCCGUUUAGUAUGUUUUUUAAGCCAUUUGUUUUACGGGGACACAGGAAGUGUCCUCAUAAACCAUGUUUUCAUUGUAGUACCCAUGUCAUUAUACACAUUUGUGUCCUCGUAAACCAUAUAUACCAGUACACACACACACACACACACACACGCACACACACACAGGCACAUGUUUAUAUAUUUGUUCUCAAUGUUUAUAUAUUUUUUUUAAUGUUACGGUAAAGCAAGCAAGUCAGUCAGACAGUCUCUUCCUGUCUUAGUAGACUGUUUUUCGCUAGAAUAGGCUGCAAUGAGGACCAGACCUCUUUUUAAUCAGAGAUUUGGCUACGCAAGACUAUGUAAACCACAAACAGAGAGUCAUUGGCCUUCCCAAUGCCCCCUUCCCCCAAUAAAGGGUAUUUAUAGCACCUGCUCUGGGUAGUGAAUAGGUAUUAUCAACAGGCACAGAAUUAGAUCAGAUUAAAUCCUAAUAUGAUUUUACUUGAGGCGUCAGGCCCCCUGAGGCUCAGUUCUGCACUCAGUCUUUCAUGUCUAUUUGGAGCAGAAACAUAAACAUUGUUCAGCAGUAUCAAUGGAGGAAGAGAGUUCACUUCUCCCCCUCUCUCUUCUGGUCAUCUGUGCCAGGAGCUUUGGUCUGCUGCCCUCUUUAAUGAUGCAUGGAACAUUAGCCAGCCACUAUCCCAAGAUAGGACGAGGCCAAUGGCAUUCUCUGGUCAAAGAGGCUGCAUUGUUUGGGUUCAGAAUAGCAUGGUCUACUGAGAAAGGGGAGAACAAAGUGUGCUGUCUGUCGAGUUUGUUUUCUAAAAUUGUUACCACAAUCCUAAUUUGUGAUUGCUGCAAAUUACAUUUUAAUGUCUUUCAUAUUCAGUCAGAUUUCUGCCAUGCACGAAGCGUUUGUUAGGCAGAUGAUGUUCGAAGUAAUUUACAUAUAUACAGGUUUAUCUAACUUAUUUUGACAUUUUAAUUAGGUUACACUUCAUUGUGAAAGAUCUGAUUUACUAUUGUGUUCAUUUAAUGCAAGGGUUUUCCAGCUGGGGUCUAAUUUUUUAAUUGUGGAAGCUUUUUAGAAUUGCAAGAUAAAAACUUCAUAAAAAGUCAGAAUUAUGAGAUGUUUAUAACUCACAUUUCUGAAAAGAAAAGCCAGAAUUGUGAGAGAUGAACAUGCAAUUUUUUUUAAAAAUAAUUUUAGUCUGUGGCAGAAACCUAAGAAAUGGAAUUGUGAGAUGUAAACUCAGAAUUCAGAGAAAAAAGUCAGAAUUGUGAGAAAAAAUGUAAUAAAAAAUCUGAGUUUCAGAGUUUAUAGAGUUGCGAGAAAAAAGUCUGAAUUGCCAUAAAUAAAAUUGCAAUGACAUUUUUUUUUAGUUUUCUUUUCCUGUGGCUGAAAUGGGCUUCCAUAGAUAGAUAGAUAGAUAGAUAGAUAGAUAGAUAGAUAAAUCAGCAUUAGUUAUGAUUAUUCCAUUGACAGCCCUGGUUAGAAAUACACAUAAAAACAACAAUAAUAAAACAAAAUAAAAACAAAAUCGCCUAUAGUUUUGUGAAAGAAAAUAAUUCCAAUAAUGGAUAAUAUAUAUAUAUAUAUAUAUAUAUAUAUAUAUAUAUAUAUGUCACAAAAUUCCAUGUAUUUUAAUAGUGUCUUUGAAAUACUAAAAGAAAACAAAAUGUUUAAUUUUGUAUUUUGCAAAUUAAUUAAAUAAUAACCUGUUGUCUUUAUAAUGUUAAUGGGAUCUUAUACUGUACAUGAAAAUACAUAGCUGCCUACAUAUUUUAGUAAAGAAAUCGCUUGCAAGGAAAACAUUAUAUUUAAAGUUCUUUGGCAUAAAAAAACCCAAAAGGUUUGAAAACCCCUGGUUUAAAGAGUGAAGCUCUGAUUAAACUAUAAAAAAAAAAAAAAAAAAAAAAGAUCAAUAAAAACAUAACAAAGAGAAGGAAAAAAACAAGGAUAUAUUGUGGUAGGUAAGAGGAAAAUAGUUUUUAAGGAAAAUGAAAGCUGCUUUCCAUAACCUGCAUUCGGGGGUGGAGAAACAUAGAAGAAGAGGAUGAGAGAGAGAAAAACUAAAGCAAAUAAGAAAGGAUUCUUAGAGUUAUUUGUAGCUCACGUCUGUUCAUUCGCACAACGGAUGCUCUAUAACGAAUCUCCCAUCCCUCUGUUUUCAAUUUGUAUCUCAACUCUUUAUAUCGUAAGUCCCAGGCAGCAGAUUUAAUUAAGAAUCCAGUCCAAUACAUCGUUUAUUUAUGAGAUAAAUUCAAGUGGCUGUUAUCUGACGGUAUAGAAUCGGCGUGACUUCGCAUUUUUAUGCACAACUGCACUGCUGACAUUUGCUACAUAUUAUCCUUGUGAAUUGUGCAUUGGGAUGGUAACAAAGAACAGGCUAUUGAUUAACUGGCAAGAGAAACUUGGAUCUAUUGUUGUACUGUGUGUGUAUCUAGGACAUAAAAGGUCUGGGAAGAAGUGUCCUGGCUUUCCCAUCAAGCACACAAUGGUGUUUCAACGGUGUAUUGUCAGGAAACAGAACAGUUGAACACAUGGGCAGAGAGCUGUUAAUUAUGUUAAAAAAUGUACAAAUGAAUAAAAUAAACAAAAAAUAUAUUUUUUUAUAAAAAUGAAAAUAAUUGAAAUGGUUAAAAAAUAUUUUAUUAUUAUUUUUUAAUUAAUUUAAAAAUGAUAUUUAAAUAAGAGUGUGAAUUAUACUGUUGUAAUCAUCUUAAUAAAGAUGGUUCAAUCUCUCUUUCUUCCCUCAUAACUGAGAAGUGUUUAUUCACAUAGGCUGCCGAAUGAAGCACCUGAGGGAACUUCUCUUCUCUCAUCUCUGUUUAAUUACACUUCUUUUCUUCUGUGCUACUGCUCUUUUCAGCGUGGAUUACAUAAACUGUUUCCCCCAGCCUCCUUGCUCUUGUGCUACACACGCUGCACAGCAUAGCACAAUAAAGCCUUCCAUCAACAGCAAACCACAUGCCUCAUGUUUCAAGAGCUGAGACACAAACAUCUUCUUCAAGCUGCAAAACAAAUCUGCCAAACCGAAGAUGAGCCUGUCAUCAUAUAUAGAUGCUGGAGUAUCAGAAGGAGGAAUAAAGGAGCAUUGAGAAUUUUAUUUUAGCAAGAGUUCACGUAACAUCACCCAUAAGUGCAUCUGUCUGCCAGAUGGGUGCCAAAUUACACAAGAUGUCGCUAAUAAUAACUGCCAUAUUAUUUAUGCCCAUGUAUUUAUCAGCUUAGAAAAACACAAGUAGCAUUUUAAUGAGAAAAGUUAGUGUCAUGUGGCUUUUUAGUGAAUUUAGCCAUUGAUUUAGUAAAGUUUUGCAUGCAAAAUAGGAUCUUGAUUGAAGAUGUAAUUUGGGCGUGUCUCCAUAAAAGUGCACGAUAAAGGGGAGUGUCAAUGCAAAUAGAAUACAUUGUGCCCUGAAAGUAAUUUCAGAAACUGAGUGUGAUAAUUAAUACGACUGAACGGCAGGUAUUAAUCUGAUUUGGGUUUUACGCCGGUCUGCUGUCACAAUGAUAAAAGGGAGAUGUUGAGAACAGAGAACACACAGAUGUGUAUUGCUUUAUUGCAAAAAAUCAUUUCUUGUGAGAUUAUGAUAUGCAAUUGUUUUAUUAAUAAUUGCAUUCAGCACAAAAAAUCAUUGCUGAAUGCAUUAUAUUCAGCACACUAUAACUGUAAGAAAAAAGAUACAACAACUACAAUGUCCUAAUUUGUCUUUCCAGAUUCCUAGUACUUCCUACUGAGCCUUGUUUAAUCAAACGUGUCAAAGUCUUUUCUAGCUCUACAGGGAUAGAUGAUGUGGUGCGCACAGAACCAGUUUUUGAUAUUAAAGGGAUAGUUCACCCUAAAACAUAGUACGUAUUAGGAUAUUUUGAACAAUGUUUCAACUCUUUAUGCCCAUAUAGUGGCUUUCACUAGGCAAACAAAAUAAUUUUUUUCACAGUAGCUUCUUUUGUGUUAUGUUUGGAACAGCAUCACUUUAGGGUACACUGUCUCUGUCAUUAAGGGUGAAUUUAAUUUAUAUAUCUUUGUCUAUUUUACCAUUCUCUUCAGGGAGAGACAUUUUCAUAUGCUGUCUAGUGUUGAGGAGGAAACUAGAGCAUCUGAGGUUUUUCAAAGAGUGACUGUAUUAAUUGAACUGUCACUCCCAAGGCUUUUUCUGGGUUGUGUUUGUCAGAUGUCACGUCACAUCCUUGUACCCAGAGUCUUCAGUCAUCUUCAAGUCUUUUGAUACUCACCAAGUAUUUGUUUUCUUUUCCAUUUCAUUUGGAGGACAUUUAAUCAGCACAGUCAGGAAACAAGAAAACAGAAAAAAAUCAUGCAGUAAUAUUGAAGACAUGCAACAUAUGAUACAUGUCCCAGACUUUCAGUUAUUAUUUAGAAGUUUUUGCUAUUCUCUAACAUUAUGAAUAAUUAAUUUUAAACAGUUAAUGCUAGAUAAUAUAGUGGGGUUAAAGGAAUAGUUCACCCAAAAAUGAAAAUUGUGUCAUUAUUUACUCACCCUCAUAUUGUUCCAAAUUUACAGGUGCUGGUCAUAUAAUUAGAAUAUCAUCAAAAAGUUUAUUUAUUUCACUAAUUCCAUUCAAAAAGUGAAACUUGUAUAUUAUAUUCAUUCAUUACACACAGACUGAUAUAUUUCAAAUGUUUAUUUCUUUUAAUUUUGAUGAUUAGAGCUUACAGCUCAUGAAAGUCAAAAAUCAGUAUCUCAAAAUAUUAGAAUAUUUACAUUUGAGUUUGAAUAAAUGACCAUCCCUACAGUAUAAAUUCUGGGUAUCUCUUGUUCUUUGAAACCACAAUAAUGGGGAAGACUGCUGACUUGGCAAUGAUCCAGAAGACGAACAUUGACACCCUCCACAAAGAGGGUAAGUCACAGAAGGUCAUUACUGAAAGGUGUGGCUGUUUACAGAGUGCUGUAUCAAAGCAUAUGAAAUGCAAAGUUGACUGGAAGGAAGAAUUUGGGUAGGAAAAGGUGCACAAGCAACAGGGAUGACCGCAAGCUUGAGAAUACAGUCAAGCAGAGCUGAUUCAAACACUUGUGAGAGCUUCACAAGGAGAGAACUGAAGCUGGAGUCAGUGCAUCAAGAGUCACCACGCUCAGACGUCUUCAGGAAAAGGGCUAACAAGCCACUUCUAAACCAGAGACAACGUCAGAAGCAUCUUACCUGGACUGUGGAGAAAAAGAACUGGACUGUUGCUCAGUGGUCCAAAGUCCUCUUUUCAGAUGAAAGUAAAUUUUGCAUUUCAUUUGGAAAUCAAGGUCCCAGAGUCUGAAGGAAGAGUGGAGAGGCACAGAAUCCAUGUUGCUUGAAGUCCAGUGUGAAGUUUCCACAGUCAGUGAUGAUUUGGGCUGCCAUGUCAUCUGCUGGUGUUGGUCCACUGUGUUUUCUGAUGUCCACAGUCAACGCAGCCAUCUACCUGAAAUUUUAGAGCACUUCAUGCUUCCUUCUGUUGACAAGCUUUAUGGAGAUGCUGAUUUCAUUUUCCAGCAGGACUUGGCACCUGCCCACACUGCCAAAGGUACCAAAAGCUGGUUCAAUGACCAUAGUGUUACUGUGCUUGAUUGGCCAGCAAACUCGCCUGACCUGAACCCCAUAGAGAAUCAAUGGGGUAUUGUCAAGAGGAAGAUGAGAGACAACAGACCCAACAAUGCAGAUGAGCUGAAGGCCACUAUCAGAGCAACCUGGGCUCUCAUAACACCUGAGCAGUGCCACAGACUGAUCGACUCCAUGCCACGCCGCAUUGCUGCAGUAAUUCAGGCAAAAGGAGCCCCAACUAAGUAUUGAGUGCUGUACAUGCUCAUACUUUUCAUUUUCAUACUUUUCAGUUGGCCAAGAUUUCUAAAAAUCCUUUCUUUGUAUUGGUCUUAAGUAAUAUUCUAAUAUUUUGAGAUACUAAUUUUUAACUUUCAUGAGCUGUAAGCUCGAAUCAUCAAAAUUAAAAGAAAUAAACAUUUGAAAUGUAUCAGUCUGUGUGUAAUGAAUGAAUAUAAUAUACAAGUUUCACUUUUUGAAUGGAAUUAGUGAAAUAAAUCAACUUUUUGAUGAUAUUCUAAUUAUAUGACCAGCACCUGUAUAUGAACUUCAUUCUUCUGUUGAACACAGAAGUAGAUAUUUUGAAGAAUGUUGAUAACCAACUGAGUGCCACAGUAUGGAAAAAAUACUAUAGCUAGUCAAUGACUGCGGCAACUGUUCUGACAUAAAAUAUUUCUACAAGCAAAAUAAAUUAAUUAAUUAAAAAUGGGAAACCAAAUAUUAAGACAUUCAAGCUGAUUUUUCAAAAAUUUUUCUCAGAUGUUUGUUAAUUAUUAUUAUUAUUAUUAUUAUUAAAAAAAAAAAGCAAAACAAAUGCAUUUUGAUCUCUGAAAGUUGCUAUGUACUGUAUCAAAAUGUUUUGUUGAGUAUUUUUGGAUCUACAUUGGUAUUUCAGCACAGCUUUAACGCAUUAAUAAUCAUUGCGUAUAAACAGAUACAGCUACCCAAACAGCUAACUAAACCUGUUUCUCCUUUCCUAAUGAAAGUUCUGGAAAAAAACAGAUUAGGGAAAAGAUUAAAAGGAAAAUGAGUGAGACUAAAACAGAGAUGUGACACUGCCACAAUGCUUUGAAUAGGUGACUUCAAUAUAUAACCAAGUGCAUUUUGCACAGAUUAUUCAGUUUGAUGUAAUAAGUAUAUACUAAUAUAACUGACUGAUGCCAUUUCAGACUCGGCUCCACUGAGCUUCAUUAUUCAUCUCUAUUGGCUGCCACAUUCGUUCAUUUCCUCUCACUUGUACUGACUGUAGAAUAGAUGUUAUCCCUGCGUGUUUUCCCUCUAUUGACACUGCACAAAUGGAAUGUGUACUUGUUAGUCUAUAUGUGUGUGUGUUUGAGCUUGUGUGUAUUAGAGGAGAAUUUAGAUUAACUCAGAAAGAGAUGAGAGCAAGCGUUUUGCUUUUUGUGUCUUCUUUGAGCUGGAGAGCGGGAUUGUAAUUUCACAAACAGACUCACCCACAUAUACAACCAAGAGUGCAUAUUUAGAUAGAUAGAUAGAUAGAUUCUUUAUGGCCACUGUAUAUGCAAAGGCAUCCACAAUAGUAAUGUUUGACAUCUACUGCUACGUUGCUCCUCAUGAUUUUCCUAUGUGUAUCGUUGUUUGUCUCUGUGCUACAUUAUGGGCUCCAACUUGAGCUACUUUCCUUCCUAGAUCCUUGGCAUUCCCUUCCAUCCACCCGGAUCCAUUCCUGCAUUCUCUGAUCCGUUAGUCAUGGCACUGGCUGGCACAGACAGAGCAGCCACUGUGCUCGGAGGCAGUGGUCCUGACAGCCCUGCCACCCUGUUUAUAUGACUCUGGAAAUGGAUGAGGAAGGGGGUAAAGAGAGAUGUAUGUGAAAGAUGUCCUGCAGCACUCCCAUGAAGGAACAUCACAGCAUCCUGACAUCAAACAGUCCUUCAAGUGUAGUGAAAGCGAAUGAAAGUUGAUCAAAUUGAAAAAAAAAAUGAAGAUGAUAGUUCACUCAAAAAGAAAAAAAGAACAGAAAAAUUAUUUACACACCCUCAUUUCAUUCCAAAACUGUAUGUUUUUUUUAUUUUAUUUUUAUAAAUUUUUUUGUAUGGACAAAAUUGUUUAUGUUCUGCAAUACAGGACUGGAAUGUCAUGAAUGUGAGGCCCCGUUUACACUUGUGCAUUUUCGUUUUAAAACGCAUAACUUUUGCUACGGUUACACCUAUCGUUUACACUACUCCGGCGUUUUCGAGGUCGUAAAACAGAGACUUUUGAAAAUGCUGCAGACCCUGUUUUACUUGGAAAAUGCAAAAUGCAAAAACAUUCCCCAUUCGACCACUCCAAGCACGCAGACGCAUCCGCCAUCUAAAUAAUAGGGCAUCUACGCUAAGCUUCAAGCUACACAUGACAAUUAAUGAGAUGAAUACAACACUUCUACUUGAAUGCCACUAUCAAUCACUACUGAGUGUUUGUAAUAACUUCUGACUGCGAUCCAAUGUGGAUUUUGGUCAAAUGAUGAGGCAGAAAUAUGUUGUUUGUAACAUUCUAGAAGAAUUUUAUCUGGAAGAUACACAGUUACAACUUCUGUGGGGCGUGAAGAAAAAGUAAUGUAACUAGUAGUGUAACUAAUUACUGUUGCCAGAAAGUAAUAAGUAAAGUAACAAUGCUACUUUUGAAAGGAGUAACUAGUAAUGAGUAAUAUAUUACAUUCUUUGAGUAACUAGCCCAACACUGUUGAUUAGUGUGUAAAUGAUGACAAAACUUUCAUUUUAGGGUAAACUAUCCCUUUAACCUGUAAUAAGCUUGUGUCAGCUUUGCAUUAACAACAUCAGAAGCAUCAAUAGGCAGUACACUGUCGAGCUCCUCACUUGUGGUUUUGAUUGACAGAUAUAAUGAUGGAGCUUCUCAGUAAUGAAUCAUUGAGCUGUGGACUGCUGUGGCGUUCCCGCAGUGAGUGCUCAUUUCAACACUAACGCAUCCUCUCGCUGUCCCGGACUCCUCCUCUACUUCAGUCAGAUCUGUAAUGAAAACACGCUCACAGAUGCCUCACCUCCCCACACUUAGAGCUGGGUUUGUUAUUCUGAAAUAUAUUUAAAGUGACAGCACACAUCAGCCCAGCUCCAUGCUAAAGUCAUCAGAAAUUUAACGCUCGUGCUUAAAAUAGACACCCAUGCUGACAGCGAUGCUACGGUUUACCUCAAACUCUUAUUUUCGACUCAGAUAGCGAGACCUCACUUAUUGCCAAUCAACGUGACUCAGAUGUCACUGGAAUGUCAUUUGAGGUCAUCGUACAAAUACAAACACUCCCAGAGUCUAUUUUCCAUAGCAACACGGAUCAAUGACACCUGCCUUCAUCUCCAUGGGAACGCACAUGUCCUUCUUUGACUACCUUCCCUCUCUUUUCUUUCAUUAAUCUCUCCCCAUUUCUCUGUCUCUCACUCUCUUUCUCUGAGCGUUAUACAAACCAUUUAUUUCCCUGCACAAAUAGGAAAUUAUCUAUAAUUUAUGAGCCCCACAUCUAUUUAUUAGUUCAGCAUGGAUUACUGUGGUCUGUGUAGGCUUCGGGAAAGUCACAUUUCUGUUAAUGAUCUCCCCAAGGUAAAUUUAACCACAAUUAGGCGGUAAAUAACAGCCCUGAACUGUCUGAUGAAAUGAUGAAGGCAAACCCUCCACCAGAGAAUCCUAGUACAGGCCCUGUAAUUUGCCCAAAUAAAAGGAAGAAAGCAAAACAAAAACAAAUUGAUUUUUUUUAGGUUUUCAAAAGCCCUGCUCUAGAAUUUCCAACCCUGCACAUUCAGCAAUAACAAGUUGUUAGGUCUACAUCGAGGAGAAAUGCUUUGUUGUUCGUUUUUGUCUUUUGUUUCCCAGCCUGACUCAUGACAUUCGUAGGAAGAGAUGGGUAGGAAGCAUCCUUGAGUUUAAUAUAAACACGUAAUUAAAAGGAUAAUAAAUAACUAGAACUUGCUGGCCCUAAACAUUCACUUUCAGAUAUCUAUCAAGAAUAAAGCCAUUAGUUUUACCAAACACAGAAUACAGAAAACUAUUAUUAUAAUAAUAAGAUGAAUUAACAUUAUUAUGGCAUGAUAUAGAUUUUUACUUGUGUCGUUAUUAUUUUUAGACCAAUUAAUGUGAUACAUUUGUGACAUGUAAACCUAUAGCCUAAUGAAAUGAUAAAUAUGACUAUAUAUAAUGCAAGUAAGGUCUUAAUCACAGUAAGAUGUUUACAUGACACAAGAAAACCUAUUUACUCCAAUUUUACAUGCAAUUUUCAUAAUUCUGAUUAUUUACAAAAAUACUUUUUAUAUUUUGUCAAUAUUGCAUAUAAUAGUUAAAGGUGCCAUAGGUGAUUGUCUUCAGAAACAUUUUUUGUUAUUCUGGUUGAAAGUCUCUUCACAUCCUGAAAGCAAUCUGUAAUGGGGCGAACGAGACGUGAGACGUGCGGAUCCAUUUGCAAGCUUUAUUAAACAAAGACGUGGUCAAAAACACAAGCAGGGUCAAAACAUCAGCACACAGGUAUGGCACAGACGAGAUACAAGAAUAAUGCAAAACCAGGCGUGAGUCAGUCGACAGCGAUUGUUAUCCAGGGGGCUUGACAAGAGGGGUAAUCCGGAAAUAUGAGCAAUAGUCCCGGCGAGGCAUAAACAGAGUCCGAACGGCGAGACAAGGAUAAAUCCAGGAAACAUAGACUAGAAAACAAGAAACAGGUUCCGUAUCGCAGCUAAAACUAGGAGAGUAAUAAAUGCAGAACAAUACUGGAACUAAACAGGAACACAGAAUGGCUCGGUUAGGCAGCUAACACUAGGAGAGUGCUAUACGCAGAACAAUACUCGGCGAUCUGAACAAGGAAGUCCAUGGUUUAUGUAGAGUGUGUGAUUGUGUGAUAGUUCUCAGGUGUGAGCGUAUGAUAGUGAAAUGGCUGCUGGGAAAUGUAGUCUGGGGUAAUGUGAAACAGUCUGUGCAAUGUGAGAGUCAAUGUGAUGGAGGAGUGACCUCUGGUGGCGAGUGAAUGGAAGUCCAUGGACCGGAUUCAUGACAGCAAUCAUUAAGUUGAAGGGGUGGUUGAUUGCGAUUUCACUUUUUUAACAUUAGUUAGUGUGUGAUGUUGCUGUUUGAGCAUAAACAAUAUCUGCAAAGUUACGGCGCUGAAAGUUCAAUGCAAACGGAGAUAUCGUCUUUUAAAAUUCUGGCAUUUUAAUGCCUACAAAAACGACUGGUAAGGGACUACAACGAGUUACUUCCCGGGUCCGUUACGUCACGAACCCAGAUAAACCCCGCCUCCGGUAACACAAACAGAGGGGGCAAGGCCAUGCUGCGCUGCUUUAGAGAAGAGGAAGAGAAAACUAGGAGUGCACGUAAACAUCUAUUCAUAUAUGAAUCGCGAUUCUGCCUUCUAACGAUUCUAAUGGAUUCACAAGUUUCAAAAUCAUGUUCUAAAGCAGCAAUUCUUAAUACUGUUCCUCGCGUCACCCUGCUCUGCAGUCUGCACACGCACUGCAUCUCUCUCUCUCUCUCUCCAACAAUAAAAUGUUCCAUUUAUACACUUAUUUUCACACAGCUAUGACAAGCGUUAAACAUGGACAUGCGUGUGGUUGCUGUACUGUAUUAAAGCUUUAAUCAGGAUAAAACCGUAUAUUAAAAGCUAACAGAAGCAGUAGCACCUACAAAUAACAGCAUAUCUAAAAGUAUGAGACAACAACAAACAAAAAACAAACCAUUAAAAGCCGUGCUUGCACAGGUUCUGAGCGAUCCUCUUCACUAAUAUCCUCUGCGUCUCAAUCGGGCUCAAAUUGAUAAGCAAUAUUGACGACACCAUUGUUUACAAUACAACCAGAGCACAUGUCGCUGAGCUGAGGGGCGGGACGUUUAGAUGCCACUAGAGGCGGUUUAGCCAAUCCGAGCGUUUUAAUUGGCUUUCCUACCUGCCUGUCAACGUAUGUAUUUACAUACCUCUGCACACCCUGUUCGCGCAGACAGAAACGUCAUCAGCGCGUUCACGCACACUGUGCGGACAGAGUGAGAAUGGCGGGCAAACAUCAACAACCCGAUCUUCCUUCCUGGUAUUGUAGUACUUUUACUAACUGUGCUAUAAAGCUUUCUCACCGGUGAAUGACACAUGAUGUAGCCCAGCGCGGUUCCCAGUUCCAGUCCUCGCGCCCCCAGCUCUGCAUAUUUUGCAUGUCUUGCUUAGUUAACAAACUCUGUUCAGAUAACCAGCUCGUUAGAAGUGAGCUCCGUGCAUGACCUGUGUUCCGAUUGACAUGCUCCCUACACAGUGUUCAUUGCUCUCUACUCCCUGAGCAGGGAAAUCCGUUGAAGUUUAUUUCACUUCGGAACAUUCACUUACGGAUUUGCGCUGCGCAGCGUCUUCACACACAGACAAAACUUACUAGAGAAGUGUUAAGUGUGACAUAAUAUACCUCUGUAAAUGAAUAAAAUUUAAAUUCACGUCUCGCACACUUUAAUGCCCUUUGUAUGGAACAUAUGCUUUGAACUGGAAUCAUGGAGGAAUAUCUGGUGAUGUUCACUUCGCAGGGGGCGUGGCUUUGGACGGUGAUUGCAGGAAGGGUGGGAUGUUCGCUUUCAGUGCUAUCAGGCUAAAGUUAGCAUCUCCUAUGGCACCUUUAAGUGGCUUGCUGUUACUAUGUUUGCUUCCUCAGAUAAAUGCAAUUUUGACCCCAAAAUUUUGAAUGGUGUAAAUAGUGUAUACUUAUAUGUCUAAUAAAAAAAGAUACUUUUAAGACACCCAUCCUUUUGUUUUUGGCUUCCAUUUCAUGUGUUCACGCCUUAAUUAGGGUCCCCCUCAAACCUGCGCACACUUCCAUCUCCACGUCAGUUGUUUAUAGCACUGAUCUUUGCUCUGAUUUCUGCUUUCUUGAAUCAUUUAUAGAAUUUCCAAGAACAAUUAAAAACAGUAAUGAUGACCAGGAAAGAAUAGGACAGAGAGAGAGAAAGAAGGAGUGGAGGUUGUCAAAUAAAAUAUGUAUCUAUUAGCUUGCAGCUGGUCUGCUGUGUUCUUAAUUAGGCAUGUCCUGAGGCUAUCAUGUCUGAAUGGAUUACGCCCUAAAUUCUCUAAAACACACAAACACAUACAUACCCACACACACCAUAUGCCACACAGUCUGUGGCCUGUGUGAUCUUCCUGCCAUCCUUUCUCUGACGCUUAUCCAAACCCCAUCACAGAGUUAUUGGCAUGUGUGAGAGACAGAAACAGAGUACUACCACCAUCCACUGCCUCCUAGACUCAAAUCAAUGAACCGUCUUUGCGUAUUCAGUUUAUUACUUUUUUUGUUUUGUCUUGCAGGAACAGACCUUUCUGUUAUCUGAACCGCUGUUGGGGCGCUUGUGACCUUGACAACCAAAUCUGCACUGUUUGUGCUGGUGCGCUGUCAAGCCCACUGCCGCUGUGUCAUUUGUGGCAGCUAAAUUGAAGGAGUGCUCUAAUCGUCUCCCACACGUCUUGCCCCUCGCCACGCGUGCGGGAAGCCCCGGGCGGCCAGCCCGCUCAUUCCGCUGUCUGUCUUCUUGCCCACAAACAUCCUAUCAUCAACAAUGACCUAAAGCCACACAGCAUCUGCUGCAUGAAAGAUGUUGAUUUUAUUGGCAAAACACGGCUCCUUUGGGUUAUGGUCCACUUCGUGUGAGCAUUAUGAUGAAGACCACAAACUAUAACUCACAUCGAUGGGAUUCACUUCAUAUGUGAAGACACAGCUAACAUAACACACAAAAAUGGACCACAGGCAUGGGUUUCUCAACGGCCUGGAUGAAAAAAAGCCUGUGUUUUUGCACCCCAGUGACAGGUGGACGGGUGUAUUGACUGUCAUAGAGAACAACAGAGCACAACAUAAAGCAUGGGGCCCGUGGACACUCGGGUCUGUACGGAAAAUCAAAAUCUUAAGUUUCCUUUUUGGACUUAUGGUCACCAUUCUCAUCAUGGCGUCCUACAUCUUGACGAGGGACCAGAAAGGGCUCUUUUUAACACCAUCACCGUAUCACCUUACUGUGGAGUCUCAUCCGGCUCAGCUGCACCUUAAUCUGUCCUUUGCUACAGACUACACAGUUGUGAGAGAGGUGGUGAGGAGCAUUGUGGCCAAAGUGGAUUUCAGUCAGAGAAGAGUGCCUGACCUGAGACAAGUGAGAGAGAAAGAGCCAAACAUAUUCUCUGCCAUUUCUCGCAAAUUUCUUCCCCAUCUCAAGAACCCCUGUUGGUAUGAAGAAUUCUUUGGGAAUGUCACAGCUGAUCCUUAUGGGAAAAACCUGUAUGCUCUUUAUUCAAAGCGCUUCCAAGCAAUAUACGACCACCUGCGCAGAGCGUUUCCAGCUCACCUGCAUCAGCACGCAGGUAGACAGUAUCGCCUGCGCUGCCUGCCCUUCUUUUACAUCAUCGGCCAGCCCAAGUGUGGCACCACGGAUCUCUACGACCGGUUACGGCUACAUCCAGAGGUCCAUUUCACCACUAUGAAGGAGCCACACUGGUGGACACGAAAGAGAUUUGGUAUCAUCAGGUUGAGUAAUGGUUUCCAUAACCCCUAUCCACUGAAUGACUACCUGGAUCUUUUUGACCAAGCAGCCAAUCAGAUUCAAGAUCACUUGACAAGCAACUCCUCCAAAACCCACAAAAAAGUCGACAUCAUAAUUGGUGAGGCGAGUGCAUCCACAAUGUGGGACAAUAACGCUUGGGUUUAUUUCUAUGACAACGGAACGGAAGUAGAGCCUCCUUUUCUGGUGCAAGACUUCAUUCAUGCUGUCCAACCAGAUGCCAGAUUCAUUGUGAUGCUCAGAGACCCAGUAGAAAGGCUUUACUCAGACUAUCUGUACUUUGGCAUGGCUAAUAAAUCUGUGGAGGAUUUUCAUGAACGAGUCUCAGAGUCGUUGCACCUGUUUGAGGGCUGCUUGGCUGAGAGGUCCAUCCGUUCCUGCAUUUACAAUACCACUCUCAACAACCUGAUGCCAGUGAGGCUUCAGGUGGGACUAUAUGUCAUAUACCUGCUGGACUGGCUGAGUGUUUUCAGUAGAGAGCAGAUACUCAUCUUACGACUUGAGGAUCAUGCUGCCAACCGAAAAAUCACUAUGCGGAGAGUCUUUGAAUUUCUACAGUUGGGACCUCUUACUCUGCAGAAGGAAGCAGACAUCACAAAGAGCCCUGCCUCCAACACCAGACGACCAGCCAAUCGAAAUCUUGGCCCAAUGCUGCCCAUAACCAAGGAGAUCCUGCAGAGCUUCUACGAGCCUUUUAACCAGCACCUGGCCCAAGUGCUAAGGGAUCCUGCCUUUUUGUGGAUGUAGCCCUGAAGGAGAGGGGAUGCACAGACAUGUAUUAUUGUAAUAGAAAAAAGUGACACAGAACUCAAAUUUAAAACUAAAUUAGAUUUGUUAGGCCAAUGCUGGGUGGCUGGUAUCACCUUUGGCCAGAAUUCAAAUGUAAGAAAAUAUUUUCAAUUCUAGUCAAUUAUAUAGUUAUACCACUGACUUCAUUUUUAUUCUUUUUUUCCUUGGUUAUUUGGUGCUGGACACAUUCAUUAUUGCACUUUGAUACUGUGAGAGUAUUUGGUCAGGAUGACCACUGAGAAAUUAAUAGACAAUUUAUUUAAUGUAUUUGUUGUAAGGCCUUGGAAGCCAAGGUGUUUCUACAAAAUGAAAGGAUAUAUAUAAACAGGAUAGAUAGGGGUCAAAAAUUAAUAUACACUCAACAAACGUCAAUUAAUAAAAAAGUGUCAGUGUUUUAGCUCUGAGGAGAAUGUAAGAGGACCUAGUGUUGCUGGAAGAUAUGGACCUGUAAUAUAAAGGACAAUAUAAAGGGUUGUGGAAACUGAGCACAAAAGCCAUCCUGGACAUUGAACUGGGUGAAUGAAACCUGAUGUCAAUGUAAUGUAAUUUUAAUGUUUUAAUCUGUUAUUGUGACUGUACAGAGAUAAGGGCAAGAAUAGAUUAAUUCCAAGUUAAUUCAACUUUGAUAUCUUCUGACUGAAUUGCAAUAAAUAUUGCUUUUUUAUAUUUGCUUCUCUAAAACCCAAUAAUUUGUCUGGAGACCUUGGUGAUGGUCAAUAAAUAAAGUUAGAUAAAAUUAGAUAAAAAUAUUUUUAUGUAACAAGCUAAGUCAAUGAUAAUAUACAUGGAUACUAAUAUUAAUAAAAUAUUUUUUCUAAGACUGUCAAGUCAAUAGCUUACCAUAUUUUAUCACUCGUAUGUUACAUUUUAGAAAUGUUCUAGUAAAAAUAUUUAAUUACUCUAACAAAGACUGAAUGAUCAGAGUGUUUAAAAUGAUGAAAGUCUACUACAGUAUAAUGAAAUAUUGGUGAUUUAGGUAUAUGCUGCUCGAAUGCCAACCAAUAGUUUCUCACCUCCUCACAGUGCAUUUAAAGAACUGAUAUCCUUCAUGAUCCCGGAGAGAGGGAAUAUCGAAUCCAUAUCCCAAAUGGCCAACUUCGCGCUCUUUCUCUAAUACACUAUGGUGACGUCAUGCCGCAUAGACAGUCGGAUAUCACUGCGCUAACGGUAAAAGUGACGUCGUGGCCGCAAUGGCGGCGCUCGUGAAUAUCUACGGCCUUGUGGACUUUAACAUAUGGACUUAAGGGCAUUAGGCGGCCAGUAGUGUAUUCCUGAGUACCUUGUACUCGGACUUUCUACUCAUUUGGCGAAUUGCUUUUAGCGUACGUUACAGUAGGCCUAGUAAACAUACUCUGAUGCAGAGUCCAUUUUCACGCGCCAAAUUUAAAUAUGCGACAGAGUAAGAUUAGAGGGCAGUGUCAGAUUUCUGAAGAUUUUAAGUUAACCACAACUUCAAUUUCAGUCAGUUCUUCACACAUAUUAGAAGUUUUGGAGUAGUUAUAAUUCAUAAAUCACAUGGGUUACGCCUAAGGGCAACCGUUAAUUUUUUGCAUCAUCGGGGGUGGAACUGGACUUACAGGGUCUCCUGGUGGGCCUCUGGUGUCAUGCCAAAUGCCUUGGAACCAAAGGAGUAACCAUUUGUGAUGCUCAAUGAUCAUUGUAUGUAAGGCAGAGUUUGAACCGUGACAUGGUGGAGGGCAGCGCUGCCGUCAGUCUGAACUCAAUGCCGGGCAGUAAUGGUGGCUCUUAGUCAAACCUGAAGUCCUGGGGUACCACAGCGUUCCCUGUGCAGAAGAAAGAAAGUCAUAGAGGAUUGGAACAACAUGAGG
Molecule: RNA transcript, 19504 nt
Organism: Onychostoma macrolepis
Lineage: Eukaryota; Metazoa; Chordata; Actinopteri; Cypriniformes; Cyprinidae
Gene: chst15a
Gene name: carbohydrate (N-acetylgalactosamine 4-sulfate 6-O) sulfotransferase 15
Exons: 11
Source: RefSeq, a predicted model, not a curated record